RNAcentral lists this ribosomal RNA (429 nucleotides) under Gemmatimonadota bacterium. RNAcentral describes it as "Gemmatimonadetes bacterium partial 16S ribosomal RNA". It matches the Rfam family "Bacterial small subunit ribosomal RNA", at positions 355 to 776 of the family's 1533-position model. The record is from RNAcentral. Lineage: Bacteria; Pseudomonadati; Gemmatimonadota.
UAGGGAAUCUUCGGCAAUGGACGAAAGUCUGACCGAGCUACGCCGCGUGAGUGAAGAAGGUUUUCGGAUCGUAAAACUCUGUUGUUAGAGAAGAACAAGGACGUUAGUAACUGAACGUCCCCUGACGGUAUCUAACCAGAAAGCCACGGCUAACUACGUGCCAGCAGCCGCGGUAAUACGUAGGUGGCAAGCGUUGUCCGGAUUUAUUGGGCGUAAAGCGAGCGCAGGCGGUUUCUUAAGUCUGAUGUGAAAGCCCCCGGCUCAACCGGGGAGGGUCAUUGGAAACUGGGAGACUUGAGUGCAGAAGAGGAGAGUGGAAUUCCAUGUGUAGCGGUGAAAUGCGUAGAUAUAUGGAGGAACACCAGUGGCGAAGGCGGCUCUCUGGUCUGUAACUGACGCUGAGGCUCGAAAGCGUGGGGAGCAAACAGG